CUGUCACUUAUAGAUGGAUCCGCGCUGCAUUAGCUAGUUGGUAAGGUAACGGCUUACCAAGGCAACGAUGCAUAGCCGACCUGAGAGGGUGAUCGGCCACACUGGAACUGAGACACGGUCCAGACUCCUACGGGAGGCAGCAGUAGGGAAUCUUCCGCAAUGGGCGAAAGCCUGACGGAGCAACGCCGCGUGAGUGAUGAAGGUCUUCGGAUCGUAAAACUCUGUUAUUAGGGAAGAACAUAUGUGUAAGUAACUGUGCACAUCUUGACGGUACCUAAUCAGAAAGCCACGGCUAACUACGUGCCAGCAGCCGCGGUAAUACGUAGGUGGCAAGCGUUAUCCGGAAUUAUUGGGCGUAAAGCGCGCGUAGGCGGUUUUUUAAGUCUGAUGUGAAAGCCCACGGCUCAACCGUGGAGGGUCAUUGGAAACUGGAAAACUUGAGUGCAGAAGAGGAAAGUGGAAUUCCAUGUGUAGCGGUGAAAUGCGCAGAGAUAUGGAGGAACACCAGUGGCGAAGGCGACUUUCUGGUCUGUAACUGACGCUGAUGUGCGAAAGCGUGGGGAUCAAACAGGAUUAGAUACCCUGGUAGUCCACGCCGUAAACGAUGAGUGCUAAGUGUUAGGGGGUUUCCGCCCCUUAGUGCUGCAGCUAACGCAUUAAGCACUCCGCCUGGGGAGUACGACCGCAAGGUUGAAACUCAAAGGAAUUGACGGGGACCCGCACAAGCGGUGGAGCAUGUGGUUUAAUUCGAAGCAACGCGAAGAACCUUACCAAAUCUUGACAUCCUUUGACAACUCUAGAGAUAGAGCCUUCCCCUUCGGGGGACAAAGUGACAGGUGGUGCAUGGUUGUCGUCAGCUCGUGUCGUGAGAUGUUGGGUUAAGUCCCGCAACGAGCGCAACCCUUAAGCUUAGUUGCCAUCAUUAAGUUGGGCACUCUAAGUUGACUGCCGGUGACAAACCGGAGGAAGGUGGGGAUGACGUCAAAUCAUCAUGCCCCUUAUGAUUUGGGCUACACACGUGCUACAAUGGACAAUACAAAGGGCAGCGAAACCGCGAGGUCAAGCAAAUCCCAUAAAGUUGUUCUCAGUUCGGAUUGUAGUCUGCAACUCGACUACAUGAAGCUGGAAUCGCUAGUAAUCGUAGAUCAGCAUGCUACGGUGAAUACGUUCCCGGGUCUUGUACACACCGCCCGUCACACCACGAGAGUUUGUAACACCCGAAGCCGGUGGAGUAACCUUUUAGGAGCUAGCCGUCGAAGGUGGGACAAAUGAUUGGGGUGAAGUCGUAACAAGGUAGCCGUAUCGGAAGGUGCGGCUGGAUCACCUCCUUU
Molecule: ribosomal RNA, 1331 nt
Filed under: Staphylococcus aureus
Lineage: Bacteria; Bacillati; Bacillota; Bacilli; Caryophanales; Staphylococcaceae
Description: bacterial SSU rRNA
Rfam family: Bacterial small subunit ribosomal RNA
Source: RNAcentral